This 427-nucleotide ribosomal RNA is filed under the name uncultured prokaryote. RNAcentral describes it as "bacterial SSU rRNA". It matches the Rfam family "Bacterial small subunit ribosomal RNA", at positions 355 to 774 of the family's 1533-position model. The record is from RNAcentral.
UCGAGAAUCCUUCGCAAUGGGCGCAAGCCUGACGAUGCGACGCCGUGUGUAUGAUGAAGGCCUUCGGGUUGUAAAGUCCUUUCGCCUAAGAACAAGAGAAGUUGGCUAACAUCCAACUAAUUUGAGGGUACUAGGUAAAGAAGCACCGGCUAACUCCGUGCCAGCAGCUGCGGUAAUACGGAGGGUGCGAGCAUUAAUCGGAUUUAUUGGGCGUAAAGGGCGCGUAGGCGGGUAUAUAAGUCAGAUGUGAAAUCCCGGGGCUCAACCCCGGAACAGCAUUUGAAACUGCAUACCUAGAGGGUAGUCGGAGAAAACAGAAUUCCACAAGUAGCGGUGAAAUGCGUAGAUAUGUGGAAGAAGACCGGUGGCGAAGGCGGUUUUCUAGAUUAUACCUGACGCUGAGGCGCGAAAGCAAGGGGAUCAAACA